GAUGUGAACUGAAUGCUAGAGAAAAGAGUGGUAUGGGAAUAAAAGAGAGAGAGGCAAAAUUAGAAAGAAUGAGAAAAAUACUUCAACUGAAAAUGCAACUGUAAAUGGAACAGAAAAUGGAACAGAAAAUGGAUAAUGGAAAGACUUUGAUUUAGCUUGUAGAAAUUUAUUGAUUUUAGCUUUCAUUCAUAUUGGAUAUGAAAUGGUAUUCCCUUUUUCAAGGUUAAAACUAAAAAGAUUUGUAAAUAUAAAAUAUAUUGAGUGAUUUUUUUUUUUUACUGUGGCUCAUAUUUCAAACUGAAUCUCAAGAAAUCAAUCUACUUUAAAAAAGCGAAGGAGAAAAUACUAAUAUAUUGAGAUCGAUUUUCAGGAAAUGUAUAUAUAAGUAAGAUGGAGUAAAAAUAAAAGAAAGCUAGAAAGCAGCUUAGUUGUGUUGAAUUGAGCACUCCAGCAAAUUCCCAGUGGCAUUGCACGACUCGGAUCAGAUCCAUGUAUUUAGAUUAGGUUUCAUUAUACUUUUAUAGCAUGUGAUUGGUCGUGCAAGCCGCACAACGCUGUAGACAUCAGAAGCUCUUCACUCACUCUCGAGUUGGGUUGUCUAGCGAUAAGACGGUUCUCCAGUUCUGCCAAUCCACCUCCAUCGUCAAGCGUCAUCAUCGUUGACGAUCAGAUCAGCAUUCAACGCAUCUAUCCGUCACCCCGCGAGACCGUGGCACCCCAUCUUCAUCCCCACAGCAGCAGCAUCAGCAGGAGUAGGAGUAGGAGGAGCGGCAACAAGGAGAAGAGCAUCUCCUCUGCAAGACAAACACCUGAGAAGUCGAUUUCUGCACGCAACAACUCCGUCUCACAUCCGACAUCCAACAAUGGCUAAGGACGGGAACAAGGAUU
This is a long non-coding RNA of Strongylocentrotus purpuratus (purple sea urchin), 888 nucleotides long. RefSeq lists it as uncharacterized. The record is from RefSeq and is a predicted model, not a curated record. Lineage: Eukaryota; Metazoa; Echinodermata; Echinoidea; Camarodonta; Strongylocentrotidae. The transcript has 2 exons.